UGUAUAAUAGUGUAAGAAGCACAAUGAAUUUUGAAUUCAUUAGACUAAGUUUAACUCUUAAUUAUACAA
RNAcentral lists this transfer RNA (69 nucleotides) under Balclutha sp. EMHAU-2015-Zz052711. Its description in RNAcentral is "tRNA-Gln". It matches the Rfam family "tRNA". From Rfam's summary of the family: Transfer RNA (tRNA) molecules are approximately 80 nucleotides in length. Their secondary structure includes four short double-helical elements and three loops (D, anti-codon, and T loops). The record is from RNAcentral. Lineage: Eukaryota; Metazoa; Arthropoda; Insecta; Hemiptera; Cicadellidae.